AGUGAACGCUGGCGGUAGGCCUAACACAUGCAAGUCGAACGGCAGCACAGUAAGAGCUUGCUCUUACGGGUGGCGAGUGGCGGAAGGGUGAGGAAUACAUCGGAAUCUACUUUUUCGUGGGGGAUAACGUAGGGAAACUUACGCUAAUACCGCAUACGACCUACGGGUGAAAGCAGGGGAUCUUCGGACCUUGCGCGAUUGAAUGAGCCGAUGUCGGAUUAGCUAGUUGGCGGGGUAAAGGCCCACCAAGGCGACGAUCCGUAGCUGGUCUGAGAGGAUGAUCAGCAACACUGGAACUGAGACACGGUCCAGACUCCUACGGGAGGCAGAAGUGGGGAAUAUUGGAAGAGGGGCGAAAGCCUGAUCCAGCCAUACCGCGUGGGUGAAGAAGGCCUUCGGGUUGUAAAGCCCUUUUGUUGGGAAAGAAAAGCAGCAGGUUAAUACCCCGCUGUUCUGACGGGACCAAAAGAAGAAGCACCGGCUAACUUCG
This 490-nucleotide ribosomal RNA is filed under the name uncultured bacterium. RNAcentral's name for it is "partial 16S ribosomal RNA". It matches the Rfam family "Bacterial small subunit ribosomal RNA", at positions 29 to 505 of the family's 1533-position model. The record is from RNAcentral.